Molecule: long non-coding RNA, 722 nt
Organism: Ornithorhynchus anatinus (platypus)
Lineage: Eukaryota; Metazoa; Chordata; Mammalia; Monotremata; Ornithorhynchidae
Exons: 3
Source: RefSeq, a predicted model, not a curated record
UUCCCCACCGACCCCGUUCUGUCAGUUUAAUUCUGUUCACUUUGUUCACUGGGAGGAUUAAGCUCCAGGGCCAGGGUGAGUCUCAGCUGGAGGUGGAAGGUGUCUCGGCCCCAAACGACUGAACAUUCUUCUAAUUAGGAUCAAUUUUGGAACACACAGUUUCAGCAGCAAAGAAAAGAAGAGUUCCAGACAUGUCAUCCAAUUGUGUAACUUCUAUAUCACCUUGGCAACCUGAUAAGAGACCUGGACCUAUCACAGAAGACACCUCCAACUUCUCUAUCAAAUUCAUCAGCACACCUACAAGUUCUACUUAAGCAUCCAAUAGGAGGACAAGAUUACCACAUUGAGGUCCUGGAUGUACCUGCUUGAAAACAAUCAUGCCAAGACAUAGAAGAAAACUGGACACCAACAGGAAUCCAGAGCAGCUGCUGAAUGUGGAAAUAAAAGAGGACCUAUGCAAACAGGGAGAGAAGAAUAAGUACACAUGCCAAGACACUGUGAAGAACAGUUGUGAAAAAUAGGACAAUAGACAUUUGAAAAAUCUGUGUUUAAGACAGCCAGCCUGGGUGCAGUGUAUGUACAGGAGGUAAGAUUACUUUUGUUGAAUGGAGGCUUCUCGAAGAUGAAGAUUCCACAGGACGGCAUCAAAACCCAACUGAAGAACUGCAAGUGUCAAAUGCAUCUGUGCAAUAAAGAGCCAACUCACUUUCUCACCGUGUGGA